Molecule: ribosomal RNA, 471 nt
Filed under: Bacillus cereus
Lineage: Bacteria; Bacillati; Bacillota; Bacilli; Caryophanales; Bacillaceae
Description: partial 23S ribosomal RNA
Rfam family: Bacterial large subunit ribosomal RNA
Source: RNAcentral
ACGGGACUAACGCCGAUAUGCUUCGGGGAGCUGUAAGUAAGCUUUGAUCCGAAGAUUUCCGAAUGGGGAAACCCACCAUACGUAAUGGUAUGGUAUCCUUAUCUGAAUACAUAGGGUAAGGAAGACAGACCCAGGGAACUGAAACAUCUAAGUACCUGGAGGAAGAGAAAGCAAAUGCGAUUUCCUGAGUAGCGGCGAGCGAAACGGAACAUAGCCCAAACCAAGAGGCUUGCCUCUUGGGGUUGUAGGACAUUCUAUACGGAGUUACAAAGGAACGAGGUAGACGAAGCGACCUGGAAAGGUCCGUCGUAGAGGGUAACAACCCCGUAGUCGAAACUUCGUUCUCUCUUGAAUGUAUCCUGAGUACGGCGGAACACGUGAAAUUCCGUCGGAAUCUGGGAGGACCAUCUCCCAAGGCUAAAUACUCCCUAGUGAUCGAUAGUGAACCAGUACCGUGAGGGAAAGGUGAAA